GUUACACGCAGCGUGUUCACAAACAAGACACGCAGGCACCCGGGCCAGGGCCGGCCACCCCGGGCGGGCCUUGGGCCAAGCUCCCUAAUUUGGUCUCCUCCACUGGAGCAGGAGGUCAGCAGUUGCCGAGUUUUAUGGUGAAAGGAGGGUAUGUCUACGAGUCCUGGGGGCGAUGGAACUGUCCCGUAUCCUGACUGCCGUGACGGUCUCGCCCUAACAAAGGUCCUGCAUCCCGGCAGCAGAAGUUGGUUCCAGUUUCUAGCCUUUCCUGGCAUGCUUCUAGAAUCAGCCUCCCUGCGCCUGCUCAGAUACAUCAGGGGGGCAGCAGAUGCCCGGCCGCCCGCUCCUCCCACUGCAGCCCCGCUUCCAAGCGCGCACAUUCUGGUGCCCCCCGCUCUUCCUGUGCUCCUGCCUGGGGGAGGGGGGCUGCGUUUGUAGUUAUUCACUCUCUUUCCCAUCCAGUAUGGCUUUAAGCAGUUCUCUAGAUUAAAUUGUCCCUGAUAAAAUAACUGUUGCGGUUCCUGUUUCCCCACCACACAUGGACACAGACCCCACAGCUACCAAGCCGACUGCACGAGGAAGUUGUAA
Canis lupus familiaris (dog) is the source of this 588-nucleotide long non-coding RNA. RefSeq lists it as uncharacterized. The transcript is spliced from 3 exons. The record is from RefSeq and is a predicted model, not a curated record. NCBI's taxonomy places the organism in Eukaryota, Metazoa, Chordata, Mammalia, Carnivora, Canidae.